AUAGAACCUAGAAUGGGCAUGCAUCAGUUGAAUCCCAUAAGGCCUUCUCAAGACCAUCGCCGACCUUCUAACUGCUGCCGGUCCUAUACCUCACAAAAAAUCCGAUGCGGUAACAUGGAAAGUUACUUUGAAACGACCAGUCGGUGCGCCCAGCCUGGUGUCAUUUUCAUCACCAAAAGGGGGAGGCAGGUCUGUGCCAACCCCAAUAAUGCGGAAGUUCAGGAUUGUAUAAUGAACCUGAAGCAGGACUCUGUGGAGAAUCUGAGCAGCAGUCAUUGGAUAUAAUGAGCAAAUUGUUGACUGAUAAGAAGGGAUACUAGGUCCCAGCCAUUUAUCUCUAGUCUCUCUUACCUCACCUCCUCAAAGCUUUUUGGCCUGAAUUAUUUUUUCAAAAGCAACAAUUACUGUUCUGUUCUGAUUAUAAAAGCUUUUAAUUAAUGCAUUCAUUAAACAUAUCCAAUUUAACUUGUGUUUAACUUUGAGAGGAAAAAGCAAUUCAGGAAUUGCUAAGCUUUAGAUUUGUGGUGGGGUUUUUUUUGUUUCUUGUUUUUUGUAUUUUUUCAAAAGAGACAUCAGAGUAUCAUUUUUAAGAAGUUAAAAACAAGACUUAUUCAGCCUUGGCUAGUGUUGCUCAAUGGUAGAAUGCAAGCCCUCAUACUGAAGUGUCCUUUAACUUCCAGUUGAGCAGGUAUCUGGGUUGCAGGUUUGAUCCUGACCCUCAUUGGGCACAUAUGGGAGGCAAUGAGUUAAUUCUCUCUCUCUCUCUCUCUCUCUCUCUCUCUCUCUCUCUCUCUCUCUCUCUCUCUCUCUCUCUCUCUCAUCUCUCAUCUCUCAUCUCUCAUCUCUCUUCCCUCCCCACCUUCUUUCUACUGUCAAUGUGAAAAAAUAGCAAGUAAGAAUUUGAAAAAUAAUAAAUAUGUAAAAAACAUGACUCAUUCAAAUUUGACUUUUUGUAUCUAUGUCAAAGAUGUACUUAACCUAUUAACAAGGGAAUGAUUAAACUGAUUCUUUUAUCAUUUGAAGGAAAAAGAUAUAUACAGUUAGUUGGGGGAGGCAUUCUGAAAUUUGGUUAACUUAGAGAAAAGUAAAGUAGUAUUUAAUAUCAGAAUAUAACUAACAUUUGCAAUUAUGUUUUCUAC
Molecule: RNA transcript, 1139 nt
Organism: Pipistrellus kuhlii (Kuhl's pipistrelle)
Lineage: Eukaryota; Metazoa; Chordata; Mammalia; Chiroptera; Vespertilionidae
Gene name: C-C motif chemokine 15-like
Exons: 3
Source: RefSeq, a predicted model, not a curated record